This 473-nucleotide ribosomal RNA is filed under the name uncultured organism. RNAcentral describes it as "partial 16S ribosomal RNA". It matches the Rfam family "Bacterial small subunit ribosomal RNA", at positions 332 to 797 of the family's 1533-position model. The record is from RNAcentral.
UACACUCCUACGGGAGGCAGCAGUGGGGAAUUUUGGACAAUGGGCGAAAGCCUGAUCCAGCAAUGCCGCGUGAGUGAAGAAGGCCUUCGGGUUGUAAAGCUCUUUUGACAGGGAAGAAACGGUGAGAGCUAAUAUCUUUUGCUAAUGACGGUACCUGAAGAAUAAGCACCGGCUAACUACGUGCCAGCAGCCGCGGUAAUACGUAGGGUGCAAGCGUUAAUCGGAAUUACUGGGCGUAAAGCGUGCGCAGGCGGUUUUGUAAGUCUGAUGUGAAAUCCCCGGGCUCAACCUGGGAAUUGCAUUGGAGACUGCAAGGCUAGAAUCUGGCAGAGGGGGGUAGAAUUCCACGUGUAGCAGUGAAAUGCGUAGAUAUGUGGAGGAACACCGAUGGCGAAGGCAGCCCCCUGGGUCAAGAUUGACGCUCAUGCACGAAAGCGUGGGGAGCAAACAGGAUUAGAAACCCCGGUAGUCCC